AACGAACGCUGGCGGCAUGCCUAACACAUGCAAGUCGAACGAGACCUUCGGGUCUAGUGGCGCACGGGUGCGUAACGCGUGGGAACCUGCCCUUAGGUUCGGAAUAACUCCCCGAAAGGGGUGCUAAUACCGGAUAAUGUCUUCGGACCAAAGAUUUAUCGCCUUUGGUUGGGCCCGCGUUGGAUUAGCUAGUUGGUAGGGUAAAAGCCUACCAAGGCGACGAUCCAUAGCUGGUCUGAGAGGAUGAUCAGCCACACUGGGACUGAGACACGGCCCAGACUCAUACGGGAGGCAGCAGUGGGGAAUAUUGGAAAAUGGGCGAAAGCCUGAUCCAGCAAUGCCGCGUGAGUGAUGAAGGCCUUAGGGUUGUAAAGCUCUUUUACCCGGGAUGAUAAUGACAGUACCGGGAGAAUAAGCUCCGGCUAACUCCGUG
RNAcentral lists this ribosomal RNA (433 nucleotides) under uncultured bacterium. RNAcentral describes it as "partial 16S ribosomal RNA". It matches the Rfam family "Bacterial small subunit ribosomal RNA", at positions 29 to 507 of the family's 1533-position model. The record is from RNAcentral.